UCGUAGAGGUUGUGCGAUGCGUCAUCUAC
This 29-nucleotide non-coding RNA is filed under the name Bombyx mori (domestic silkworm). Lineage: Eukaryota; Metazoa; Arthropoda; Insecta; Lepidoptera; Bombycidae. The record is from RNAcentral.